UCUGUCCAUGCAGCAGCCACACCUGCCAAUGAUCACUUUUGUGACUAUGCAACUGGAGUGAGAAUACUAGCUGCAGAUCACAAAAAUGACGCUGGCAGCUGUGAGGGAGAGAGAGAAAGAGGGGAGAAGGGAGGGAAGAACAGAGAGAGGAGGAGACUCGCAGCGGCAGGAAGAGGGAGGGACGGACAGAGAGGCCGAGAGAAACCGAGAUAAACCGGCAGACAGGGAAGGAGGUGGAGAAAAACAAGGGAGAAGGACAGAGAGAAAGGAAGGGAAGCGCGGAGGGAGAAAAGGAGAGAGAGGGAAUGGGUAAGGCAGAGACAGAGUGAGGAAGAGAUGGGGAGAGAGAAGAGUAAGAAAGAGGAAAGGAAAAAAUGAACGACACAAAAAGAGAGGCGGAGAGACGGACAGGGAUGAAGGAGGGGAGACGGGCAGGAGGGAGAGAGAGAUGGAGUGGGCAGCGAUCAACGCAGGACAGGACCUGGAGACGGUGAGGCCGGAGCAAACGGGAAGAGAGGAAGCAGGGGCCCCGAGAGGGAGGGGAGCCAGAAAGCUGGAGGGCCCCCUAGAGGAAGCAGAUGGAGGCGAAGGAGCCAGUCCCGCGAGCGUGAGAGGGAGGAGCGGAGCAGCAGCGGCCGGCGCGGAGCUGGCCCACGCGGGGACCGGCACAGCUGGAGCCGCAGACAGAGUUUCACACUGUUGCCCAGGCUGGCAUGAUCUCCACUCGCUGCAACCUCUGCCUCCCAGGUUCAAGUGAUUCUCCUGCCUCAGCCUCCCAAGUAGCUGGGAUUACAGGUGUCUGCCACCACACCUGGCUAAUUUUUUGUGUUUUUACAAAAAAUACAUUAUGUUGGCCAGGCUGGUCUUGAACUCCUGACUGUGUGAUAUGCCCACCUUGGCCUCCCAAAGUGGUGGGAUUACAAGUGUGAACCACCACACCCAGCCAAUAAAAGGCUUUUUAAAAAGAC
Molecule: non-coding RNA, 968 nt
Organism: Callithrix jacchus (white-tufted-ear marmoset)
Lineage: Eukaryota; Metazoa; Chordata; Mammalia; Primates; Cebidae
Source: RefSeq, a predicted model, not a curated record